Molecule: transfer RNA, 69 nt
Filed under: Engaewa walpolea
Lineage: Eukaryota; Metazoa; Arthropoda; Malacostraca; Decapoda; Parastacidae
Description: tRNA-Gln
Source: RNAcentral
UAUAUAUAGGUGUAUAUAGCACAUUAAGUUUUGAUCUUUUUAGGGCUAGUGUGAGUCUAGUAUGUAUAA